GACGAACGCUGGCGGCGUGCUUAACACAUGCAAGUCGAACGGAAAGGCCCUGCUUUUGUGGGGUGCUCGAGUGGCGAACGGGUGAGUAACACGUGAGUAACCUGCCCUUGACUUUGGGAUAACUUCAGGAAACUGGGGCUAAUACCGGAUAGGAGCUCCUGCUGCAUGGUGGGGGUUGGAAAGUUUCGGCGGUUGGGGAUGGACUCGCGGCUUAUCAGCUUGUUGGUGGGGUAGUGGCUUACCAAGGCUUUGACGGGUAGCCGGCCUGAGAGGGUUACCGGCGACAUUGGGACUGAGAGACGGACCAGACUGCUACGGGAGGCAGCGGUGGAGAGUAUUGCGCAGUGGGCGGAAGCCUGAUGCGGCAACGCCGCGUGCGGGAUGACGGCCUUCGGGUUGUAAACCGCUUUCGCCUGUGACGAAGCGUGAGUGACGGUAAUGAGUAAAGAAGCACCGGCUAACUACGUG
RNAcentral lists this ribosomal RNA (468 nucleotides) under uncultured bacterium. Its description in RNAcentral is "partial 16S ribosomal RNA". It matches the Rfam family "Bacterial small subunit ribosomal RNA", at positions 28 to 507 of the family's 1533-position model. The record is from RNAcentral.